UUAAUUCAAAUUUGUAUGGAGUUGGUAUGAAAAGCGCCCCUAGCGGCAAACGUAGUGAAGUUGUUCCAACUCCAUACAAAUUUGAGUUA
Bombyx mori (domestic silkworm) is the source of this 89-nucleotide non-coding RNA. Lineage: Eukaryota; Metazoa; Arthropoda; Insecta; Lepidoptera; Bombycidae. The record is from Rfam.